Molecule: long non-coding RNA, 235 nt
Filed under: Linum usitatissimum (flax)
Lineage: Eukaryota; Viridiplantae; Streptophyta; Magnoliopsida; Malpighiales; Linaceae
Description: long non-coding RNA (LUSI_LNC006231)
Source: RNAcentral
CUUGAAGGAAGCAUGUGAUCGUAGGAAGAGGAACACAUAUAUUUCGAAGUUAAAGCGACUUACUUGUAGUAUUACAGUGAGUUCAAUCUGUAGGGAGUGAUGUAAUCAUGUUUUCUGUAGCCAUUCGAUUCCUACUCUUGAUGUAGCUAGUGAUAUUAUUGAGCAAGUUAGGUCCUACUCGGCCAGCCAACCUAUUUAUUGUAGUUUACUUGCCAAUAUGUGGUAAUCGUUUCUA